This 81-nucleotide transfer RNA is filed under the name Scleropages formosus (Asian bonytongue). It matches the Rfam family "tRNA". Rfam says of the family: Transfer RNA (tRNA) molecules are approximately 80 nucleotides in length. The record is from Rfam by way of RNAcentral. Lineage: Eukaryota; Metazoa; Chordata; Actinopteri; Osteoglossiformes; Osteoglossidae.
GUAGUUGUGGCCGAGCAGUUAAGGCGAUGGGCUUGAAAUCCGUUGGCGUCUCCUGUGCAGGUUCGAGUCCUGCUGACUACA